UGCAGAGGCGAACGAGGAGAACUGAAACAUCUAAGUAUCCUCAGGAAAAGAAAUCAACCGAGAUUCCGGCAGUAGCGGCGAGCGAACCCGGAAGAGCCUAACAGCUGAUAGUUUGAAGCGUAGUCGAACGGAAUGGAAAGUCCGGCCAUAGCGGGUGAUAGCCCCGUAGGCGAAACGCUUUGGAUGGUACUAAGGCAGUGAGAAGUAGAGCGGGACACGUGGAAUCCUGUUCGAAGACGGGGGGACCAUCCUCCAAGGCUAAAUACUCGUGAUCGACCGAUAGUGAACCAGUACCGUGAGGGAAAGGCGAAAAGAACCCCGGGAGGGGAGUGAAAUAGAACCUGAAACCGCAUGCAUACAAACAGUAGGAGCUUCGUAAGGAGUGACUGCGUACCUUUUGCAUAAUGGGUCAGCGACUUACAUUCUGUGGCGAGCUUAACCGACUAGGGGAGGCGCAGCGAAAGCGAGUUCGAAUAGAGCGAAGAGUCGCAGGGUGUAGACCCGAAACCAGAUGAGCUAUCCAUGGCCAGGUUGAAGGUGUGGUAACACACACUGGAGGACCGAACCGACUAGUGUUGCAAAAUUAGCGGAUGAGCUGUGGAUAGGGGUGAAAGGCCAAACAAAUCUGGAGAUAGCUGGUUCUCCCCGAAAACUAUUGAGGUAGUGCCUCGUGUAUCGCUCCAGGGGGUAGAGCACUGUUUUGGCUAGGGGGACAUGGAGUCUUACCAAACCAAGGCAAACUCCGAAUACCUGGAAGCGUGAGCACGGGAGACAGAGCACCGGGUGCUAACGUCCGGACUCAAAAGGGAAACAACCCAGACCGCCGGCUAAGGUCCCCAAUAAUGGCUAAGUGGAAAACGAAGUGGAAAGGCCGUGACAACCAGGAAGUUGGCUUAGAAGCAGCCAUCCUUCAAAGAAAGCGUAAUAGCUCACUGGUCGAGUCUUUCUGCGCGGAAGAUGUAACGGGGCUAAGCCAUUAACCGAAGCCGCGGAUGC
RNAcentral lists this ribosomal RNA (996 nucleotides) under Parasutterella muris. Its description in RNAcentral is "Bacterial large subunit ribosomal RNA". It matches the Rfam family "Bacterial large subunit ribosomal RNA", at positions 172 to 1209 of the family's 2925-position model. The record is from Rfam by way of RNAcentral. Lineage: Bacteria; Pseudomonadati; Pseudomonadota; Betaproteobacteria; Burkholderiales; Sutterellaceae.